This 74-nucleotide transfer RNA is filed under the name Pseudomonadota bacterium. RNAcentral describes it as "tRNA-Val". It matches the Rfam family "tRNA". Rfam says of the family: Transfer RNA (tRNA) molecules are approximately 80 nucleotides in length. The record is from RNAcentral. RNAcentral also lists the same sequence under 2 other names. Lineage: Bacteria; Pseudomonadati; Pseudomonadota.
GGGCGGUUAGCUCAGCCGGAUAGAGCGCCAGUCUUACACACUGGAGGUCACAGGUUCGAACCCUGCACCGCCCA